Molecule: ribosomal RNA, 347 nt
Filed under: uncultured bacterium
Lineage: Bacteria
Description: partial 16S ribosomal RNA
Rfam family: Bacterial small subunit ribosomal RNA
Source: RNAcentral
CCUACGGGCGGCAGCAGUGAGGAAUAUUGGUCAAUGGGCGGAAGCCUGAACCAGCCAAGUAGCGUGCAGGAUGACGGCCCUACGGGUUGUAAACUGCUGUUAUACGGGAAUAACGCGCCGUACGUGUAGGGCUUUGCAUGUACCGUAUGAAUAAGGACCGGCUAAUUCCGUGCCAGCAGCCGCGGUAAUACGGAAGGUCCGGGCGUUAUCCGGAUUUAUUGGGUUUAAAGGGAGCGUAGGCCGCAUGUCAAGCGUGCUGGGAAAUGUCCGGGCUCCCCCCGGGCCUUGCAGCGCGAACUGGCGUGCUUGAGUCCGCGGCAAGCAGGCGGCAUUCGUCGUGUAGCGGU